AGUGAACGCUGGCGGUAGGCCUAACACAUGCAAGUCGAACGGCAGCACAGUAAGAGCUUGCUCUUACGGGUGGCGAGUGGCGGACGGGUGAGGAAUACAUCGGAAUCUACUUUUUCGUGGGGGAUAACGUAGGGAAACUUACGCUAAUACCGCAUACGACCUACGGGUGAAAGCAGGGGAUCUUCGGACCUUGCGCGAUUGAAUGAGCCGAUGUCGGAUUAGCUAGUUGGCGGGGUAAAGGCCCACCAAGGCGACGAUCCGUAGCUGGUCUGAGAGGAUGAUUAGCCAAACUGGAACUGAGAAACGGUCCAGACUCCUACGGGAGGCAGCAGUGGGGAAUAUUGGACAAUGGGCGCAAGCCUGAUCCAGCCAUACCGCGUGGGUGAAGAAGGCCUUCGGGUUGUAAAGCCCUUUUGUUGGGAAAGAAAAGCAGCAGGUUAAUACCCCGCUGUUCUGACGGUACCCAAAGAAUAAGCACCGGCUAACUUCGUG
This 492-nucleotide ribosomal RNA is filed under the name uncultured bacterium. RNAcentral describes it as "partial 16S ribosomal RNA". It matches the Rfam family "Bacterial small subunit ribosomal RNA", at positions 29 to 507 of the family's 1533-position model. The record is from RNAcentral.